ACAUGAAGCUGGAAUCGCUAGUAAUCGCAGAUCAGAAUGCUGCGGUGAAUACGUUCCCGGGUCUUGUACACACCGCCCGUCACACCAUGGGAGUUGGAAAUGCCCGAAGCCAGUGACCCAACCGUAAGGAGGGAGCUGUCGAAGGGUGGAGCCGAUGACUGGGGUGAAGUCGUAACAAGGUACC
Molecule: ribosomal RNA, 184 nt
Filed under: uncultured bacterium
Lineage: Bacteria
Description: partial 16S ribosomal RNA
Rfam family: Bacterial small subunit ribosomal RNA
Source: RNAcentral